Molecule: long non-coding RNA, 200 nt
Filed under: Gossypium barbadense (sea-island cotton)
Lineage: Eukaryota; Viridiplantae; Streptophyta; Magnoliopsida; Malvales; Malvaceae
Description: long non-coding RNA (GBAR_LNC008527)
Source: RNAcentral
AAACGACGCCGUUUUGAACGCGGGUCGGGUCGACCCGACCCGCACCAGGGAGGAUCCGCGUGUUUUUCUUUGGAAGGGCUAAUUGCACUUUUAGCCCUUCCGCUUUUUCGGGAGUUUACAAUCAAGCUUUUCUUUAUUUUUAAUCUGGCUCCAUGGUUUCGCCCCGAAUUCAUUCUGGUCCCUCAUGCUGCGCAGCGUUU